UACGUAGGGUGCGAGCGUUGUUCGGAGUUACUGGGCGUAAAGGGUGCGUAGGCGGUUGUUUAAGUUUGGUGUGAAAUCUCCCGGCUCAACUGGGAGGGUGCGCCGAAUACUGAAUGACUAGAGUGCGGGAGAGGAGAGUGGAAUUCCUGGUGUAGCGGUGAAAUGCGUAGAUAUCAGGAGGAACACCGGUGGUGUAGACGGCUCUCUGGACCGUAACUGACGCUGAGGCACGAAAGCGUGGGUAGCAAACAGG
This 253-nucleotide ribosomal RNA is filed under the name uncultured bacterium. Its description in RNAcentral is "partial 16S ribosomal RNA". It matches the Rfam family "Bacterial small subunit ribosomal RNA", at positions 524 to 776 of the family's 1533-position model. The record is from RNAcentral.